GACGAACGCUGGCGGCGUGCUUAACACAUGCAAGUCGAACGGAAAGGCCCUGCUUUUGUGGGGUGCUCGAGUGGCGAACGGGUGAGUAACACGUGAGUAACCUGCCCUUGACUUUGGGAUAACUUCAGGAAACUGGGGCUAAUACCGGAUAGGAGCUCCUGCUGCAUGGUGGGGGUUGGAAAGUUUCGGCGGUUGGGGCUGGACUCGCGGGUUAUCAGCUUGUUGGUGGGGUAGUGGCUUACCAAGGCUGUGACGGGUAGCCGGCCUGAGAGGGUGACCGGCCACAUUGGGACUGAGGUACGGCCCAGACUGCUACGGGAGGCAGCAGUGGGGAAUAUUGCACAGUGGGCGGAAGCCUGAUGCAGCAACGCCGCGUGCGGGAUGACGGCCUUCGGGUUGUAAACCGCUUUCGCCUGUGACGAAGCGUGAGUGACGGUAAUGGGUAAAGAAGCACCGGCUAACUACGUG
RNAcentral lists this ribosomal RNA (468 nucleotides) under uncultured bacterium. RNAcentral's name for it is "partial 16S ribosomal RNA". It matches the Rfam family "Bacterial small subunit ribosomal RNA", at positions 28 to 507 of the family's 1533-position model. The record is from RNAcentral.